Molecule: unclassified non-coding RNA, 436 nt
Filed under: Hevea brasiliensis (rubber tree)
Lineage: Eukaryota; Viridiplantae; Streptophyta; Magnoliopsida; Malpighiales; Euphorbiaceae
Source: RNAcentral
CCAUCCUCUUGUAGAAGCCCUCCAAGAAGUCCUCCCAAAAAUCUCCAAUCCACCGUUCUAUUGAAGUCGGGAAACAAGAGUUCAGCUGCCAUAGAUCCUUCUGUUCAGAGUAAGAAAGCAUCUUCAAAUUGUGCUCAGCACGCUGAUAAAGCAUCCCCUUCAAUUAUAUGCCCGCAAAGUAUAUGCAUGUCCAAACCUGAGACCCAGAAGGCCUCAACUUCAAAACUAUCUGAGAAGCCAAUGCUACAGCAUGUGCCUGUGAUGUCAAGGCCCUCUAGUGCUCCUCUAAUUCCUGGUCCUCGGCCAGCUGCUCCUGUGGUUUCCAUGGUUCAAAAACCCCCAUUACUUGCACGUUCUGUUAGUGCAACUGGUCGGCUUGGUCCUGAUACUUCACCUGCAAGUCCUAGUUAUGCUCCUUUGUCCUAUCGAAAUGCCA